Molecule: long non-coding RNA, 337 nt
Filed under: Androctonus crassicauda
Lineage: Eukaryota; Metazoa; Arthropoda; Arachnida; Scorpiones; Buthidae
Source: RNAcentral
CUACCACAGAAAUGCUAACAGAGGAAGACAUAGUUAACGAAGUCAAAGGGGGGUAAUAUCGCGGACAUACAAGAUGAAGAUGAUGACGUAUGAAGACAACGAGAUCGAGGAACCAGUACCUAGUUUGAGGGAGGCUCUUGAUGUCAUUAGAAUUAUUAACCGAUUUUACGAGGCAGAUUCCGAAGGAAAUGAAAAUAUUGGCGCAGUAAAGGCGAUCAAAAAAGAUUUGGAAAAGCAGUAUUUACAACGACGUGUAAAACAAAAAAAAAUCAUUGAUUUCUUUGCUUAAUAUACGUUUCGCUUCAUUUUUGUUCAUUGUAUAAGAUCAUAAUUUCUG